Small nucleolar RNA from Cucurbita pepo subsp. pepo (vegetable marrow), 85 nucleotides. RefSeq annotates it as small nucleolar RNA Z102/R77. The record is from RefSeq and is a predicted model, not a curated record. NCBI's taxonomy places the organism in Eukaryota, Viridiplantae, Streptophyta, Magnoliopsida, Cucurbitales, Cucurbitaceae.
GAAUUUGAUCAUGAUAAUCUAUUUUCCUAUAUGUUUCAUUGCUGUUAUGAUCGCACUCUCAUGUAUUAGCUUUAGCUGAUUAUUC